Molecule: ribosomal RNA, 484 nt
Filed under: uncultured bacterium
Lineage: Bacteria
Description: partial 16S ribosomal RNA
Rfam family: Bacterial small subunit ribosomal RNA
Source: RNAcentral
AUUGAACGCUGGCGGCAGGCCUAACACAUGCAAGUCGAGCGGAUGAAGGGAGCUUGCUCCUGGAUUCAGCGGCGGACGGGUGAGUAAUGCCUAGGAAUCUGCCGGGUAGUGGGGGAUAACGUCCGGAAACGGGCGCUAAUACCGCAUACGUCCUGAGGGGGAAAGGGGGGGAUCUUCGGACCUCCCGCUAUCAGAUGAGCCUAGGUCGGAUUAGCUAGUUGGUGGGGUAAAGGCCUACCAAGGCGACGAUCCGUAACUGGUCUGAGAGGAUGAUCAGUCACACUGGAACUGAGACACGGUCCAGACUCCUACGGGAGGCAGCAGUGGGGAAUAUUGGACAAUGGGCGAAAGCCUGAUCCAGCCAUGCCGCGUGUGUGAAGAAGGUCUUCGGAUUGUAAAGCACUUUAAGUUGGGAGGAAGGGCAGUAAGUUAAUACCUUGCUGUUUUGACGUUACCAACAGAAUAAGCACCGGCUAACUUCGUG